Momordica charantia (bitter melon) is the source of this 2577-nucleotide RNA transcript. It is a transcript of the gene named protein GRAVITROPIC IN THE LIGHT 1, with no coding region annotated. Lineage: Eukaryota; Viridiplantae; Streptophyta; Magnoliopsida; Cucurbitales; Cucurbitaceae. The record is from RefSeq and is a predicted model, not a curated record.
GUAUUCCCGUCCGAUGGAAAUCCCGAAAGUUGCCUCUUCUAGCGCUUUUAAAUUCCCCAGUGCCCUUGUGUCGGACUCGUCCCAACACUGUUCUUUUCCGUCUUUUCACCUCAAAACUCAUGCCCUUUUUCGUCUUUUCACCAUAACCCCUCUUCCCUUCCCUUCCCCUCCCUCUCCCUGUAUUUCUCUGUCCCUUCCCUCCGCUUCCUCUCUCCUCGAGCUCUGAAUUUCUUCCCUCUCUCUCUCUAGAAUUUUGUUUUCUUCGAAGCGGCGGGACAGAGACACAGAGGAGAGCCGUUCAUCGAUCUCGAGUUUUCACUAGGCGUGUUUCUGAGCUACGAAGAGCGAGGCGCUUCGAGGAAAGUGAAGGGUCUGCGCCAUUGGAGUAACUCAUUCGGUUUCUUCAUGAGCUGAAGACUUAGCGGGUCGCCGAGGUCUAGCUCCUUAGGGGUAUUUCUCACGGCGUCUUGUAUAGUCCCGUUUUUUCCUUGAGAUUUACGUUGGGCGAUGACUGGUUGACUGACUGGACUCGCCGCGGUUUCUUGGGCGAUUCAUCGAGACGGUGAAUUGGACAUCUUCAAUCAUUCCUGCCAUUUUCCUGCUCCAAGAUGGAUUCUGUUAAAUCCUCUACUCUCACUCCAAGUAAGAGUAAAUUGGCACGCACUAUUACCAAAGUUCUUCAUAUUCGAGCUUUAACUGGGAUAGCACCUGUUCACGGAAUUCAUAAAGUUAAGCCACAAGAUAAGAUCAGUGAUGACUGCACAGCAAGUAAGAGUACAGGUAGUCAAUCUGAGUCUUUUGAUAGUGGUGAAGAAGAGUUCCAGAAUAGAGUCCAAUUGCAAGCAUUGCUGGCAAAAUUGUUUGCAAGCAUCUCAUCAGUCAAAGCUGCAUAUGCCCAGUUACAGUAUUCUCAAUCUCCUUAUGAUGCGGAAGGUAUUCAAGAUGCUGAUCACUAUGUUGUCUCAGAAUUGAAAGCUUUGUCUGAAUUGAAGCAGUGUUACCUUAAAAGACAGUUCGAUCCUUCACCAGAGACCACAAUGCUCUUGGCUGAAAUUCAGGAGCAAAAGAGUCUUGUGGGAACAUAUGACAUAAUGGGGAAAAGAUUGGAAUCGCAAGCAAGAUUGAAGGGCUCUGAAAUUACGUUUCUUAGAGAGAAGAUCGAGGAAAUUAAAAAACAGAAUAGGUUACUUGAGAAAAGUUUAAAUCAAAGUGGAUCAAUUUCUGUCCCUGGUGAUAUUCACUUAUCAGGAGUAAAUGCGAGCCAUUUCAUUAAAGUUCUUGGGCAUACAGUGAAGUCCGUUCGGAGUUUUGUCCGGAUGAUGGUGGAUGAAAUGAAAUCUGCUGGUUGGGAUGUUAAUGCAGCUGCAAUGGAAAUUGAACCAGAUGCUGUUUAUUGGAACGAUGAUCAUAGAUGCUUUGCAUUCGAAACAUUUGUUUUCAGGGAAAUGUUUGAUUCCUUCCACAAACUCAAUUUUUCUCUUCCAAAUGAAUCCUUGCCCGAAAAAAGGAAACAGAAACAGUUUUUCUUUGCAAGAUUUAUGGAGCUGAAGCUCAGAAAAGCCAAGGAUUUUCUCUCACAAAAUCCUAGAUCGACAUUUGCCAAGUUUUGUCGGGUUAAGUUCUUGCGGCUCAUUCACCCCAAAAUGGAAUCAUCACUAUUUGGUAAUUUGGACCAGAGAAGCCUUAUAAGCUCCGGUCAAUUCCCAGAUACCACUUUCUUUGGCACGUUUGCAGAGAUGGCAAGGUGGGUGUGGCUCCUACAUUCAUUAGCUUAUUCCAUUGAGCCGGAGGCCUCCAUUUUUCAAGUGCGUAAAGGUUGUCGAUUCUCAGAGGUCUACAUGGAAAGCGUCAUUGAUGAGGUGUACCUUUCACCAGAUUCGGACCCAGUUGUAGCAUUCACUGUCAUCCCUGGCUUCAUGAUUGGUAAAACUGCAAUCCAGUGCCGGGUCUAUCUCUCACAAUGAUCAUUUCUUUAUGGGAACAACAGUAUAUUAACUUUUACCAAAGACCACAGGUUGCACAGGCACCAACCAAUAAUUCAUAGUAUUGGCGUUGGCCCCUUCAUCAGCUCAAAGAUCAAGCUCAGCCAUGAUAUAACAAUUUAUUAUACCUCGAUUUAACAAAAAUGGCCAAGUUGAUGCUGCGCAUAUUGUGACGGAGUGGCAAGCAAACAUCCUACCUAGACAGGCAAUCAGACGAAUGAUACUGCUGCUGCUGGUUUUUAAUAGGGGUCGGUGAUGUUGGGCCAUGUGACUGGCUAAGCCUUUGCACAUUCUUUGUUUUCUAUGCAAAAAGGAAAGAAGAAGGCAUUGUUUGUGAAGAAGGGGUACGCACCGUUUGGCUCUUUCUUCUCUUUAUAUUUAAUGUGGAAAUGUUUGAUUUAGUGUCCAGUCCAAUUGGUGUAAGCUUCUCGAGCUUUGAAAAGAGGGAAAAUCUCAUGUUGGGACACUUUUUUCACUGUGGAAUUCUUAUAUGUAGAGCCAUAAAUUAUAAAAUUUAAUCUGAAAACAAUGUUUUUUUCUUUUGAGUAAAACAAUCUGGAAAGAUGGGAGAUCAAAUCUCCGAUCUCGAAAGGAA